RNAcentral lists this transfer RNA (75 nucleotides) under Epinephelus trimaculatus (threespot grouper). Its description in RNAcentral is "tRNA-Asn". The record is from RNAcentral. RNAcentral also lists the same sequence under 2 other names. Lineage: Eukaryota; Metazoa; Chordata; Actinopteri; Perciformes; Serranidae.
UAGAUUGAUGCCCGCCGGUUCUGAGGCGCUUAGCUGUUAACUAAGAGUUUGUAGGAUCGAAGCCUACCUUUCUAG